RNAcentral lists this small RNA (31 nucleotides) under Bombyx mori (domestic silkworm). Its description in RNAcentral is "ovarian small RNA-1089". The record is from RNAcentral. Lineage: Eukaryota; Metazoa; Arthropoda; Insecta; Lepidoptera; Bombycidae.
UCACUAUCACAAAAUGGCGGCUACCGCCUAC